This 496-nucleotide ribosomal RNA is filed under the name uncultured bacterium. Its description in RNAcentral is "partial 16S ribosomal RNA". It matches the Rfam family "Bacterial small subunit ribosomal RNA", at positions 28 to 507 of the family's 1533-position model. The record is from RNAcentral.
GACGAACGCUGGCGGCGUGCCUAAUACAUGCAAGUUGAGCGCUGAAGGUUGGUACUUGUCCCGACUGGGUGAGCAGCGAACGGGUGAGUAACGCGUGGGUAAUCUGCCUUUGAGCGGGGGACAACAUUUGGAAACGAAUGCUAAUACCGCAUAAAAACUUUAAACACAAGUUUUAAGUUUGAAAGAUGCAAUUGCAUCACUCAAAGAUGAUCCCGCGUUGUAUUAGCUAGUUGGUGAGGUAAAGGCUCACCAAGGCGAUGAUACAUAGCCGACCUGAGAGGUGGAUCGGCCACUCUGGAACUGAGACACGGUCCAGACUCCUACGGGAGGCAGCAGAAGGGAAUCUUCGGCAAUGGGCGAAGUCCGGACGGGGCAAGGCGGCGGGAGUGAGGAAGGUUUCCGGAUCUAAAAAUCCUGUGAUAAGGGAGGAACAAGGGUGGAAGGAAAUAUGCACGUCGUGACGGUACCUACUCAGAAAGCGACGGCUAACUACGUG